This 465-nucleotide ribosomal RNA is filed under the name uncultured bacterium. RNAcentral's name for it is "partial 16S ribosomal RNA". It matches the Rfam family "Bacterial small subunit ribosomal RNA", at positions 28 to 507 of the family's 1533-position model. The record is from RNAcentral.
GACGAACGCUGGCGGCGCGCCUAACACAUGCAAGUCGAACGAGCGAGAGAGAGCUUGCUUUCUCAAGCGAGUGGCGAACGGGUGAGUAACGCGUGAGGAACCUGCCUCAAAGAGGGGGACAACAGUUGGAAACGACUGCUAAUACCGCAUAAGCCCACGACCCGGCAUCGGGUAGAGGGAAAAGGAGCAAUCCGCUUUGAGAUGGCCUCGCGUCCGAUUAGCUAGUUGGUGAGGUAACGGCCCACCAAGGCGACGAUCGGUAGCCGGACUGAGAGGUUGAACGGCCACAUUGGGACUGAGACACGGCCCAGACUCCUACGGGAGGCAGCAGUGGGGAAUAUUGCACAAUGGGGGAAACCCUGAUGCAGCGACGCCGCGUGGAGGAAGAAGGUCUUCGGAUUGUAAACUCCUGUUGUUGAGGAAGAUAUGACGGUACUCAACAAGGAAGUGACGGCUAACUACGUG